This 466-nucleotide ribosomal RNA is filed under the name uncultured bacterium. RNAcentral describes it as "partial 16S ribosomal RNA". It matches the Rfam family "Bacterial small subunit ribosomal RNA", at positions 28 to 505 of the family's 1533-position model. The record is from RNAcentral.
GACGAACGCUGGCGGCGUGCUUAACACAUGCAAGUCGAACGGAAAGGCCCUGCUUUUGUGGGGUGCUCGAGUGGCGAACGGGUGAGUAACACGUGAGUAACCUGCCCUUGACUUUGGGAUAACUUCAGGAAACUGGGGCUAAUACCGGAUAGGAGCUCCUGCUGCAUGGUGGGGGUUGGAAAGUUUGGGCGGGUGGGGAUGGACUCGCGGCUUAUCAGCUUGUUGGUGGGGUAGUGGCUUACCAAGGCUUUGACGGGUGGCCGGCCGGAGAGGGUGAACGGCCCCAUUGGGACCGAGAGGCGGCCGAGACUACUAUGGGAGGAAGGGGGGGGGAAUGUUGCACAAUGGGCGCAAGCGUGAUGAAGGACCGCGGGGUGCGGAAUGCUGGCGUUGGGGUUGAAAACCGCUUGCGCCUGUGACGAAGGGUGAGUGGCGAUAAUGGGUAAAGAGGCACCGUAUAACCGUG